Molecule: long non-coding RNA, 1263 nt
Filed under: Glycine max (soybean)
Lineage: Eukaryota; Viridiplantae; Streptophyta; Magnoliopsida; Fabales; Fabaceae
Description: long non-coding RNA (GMAX_LNC002282)
Source: RNAcentral
UAGAAUAUUGUUCCAUCCAUCUCUCGUGUUCUAAGAAAUAUAUAUCCUCUUGAAAGAAUAAGUAGCAACUCUGUAGCCUCUUUUCCCACAAUCUCCUUCUCCAAAUUAGUCCUGCAGAAGAAGAUCAUCAUGAGGGGCUUAAAGACGAGAACAACACCAAUUUUGUCCAAGUUCACGCCUUUGUUGGAGCCAUGGCCAAAUGAUGCUACAAGAAUGGAACUAGAAACCUGAUCAGGACAUUUGACCUGAGGAAACCUGCCCUCUAGGCAAGUCUGAUGCUUGGCUUUUCAUCCCUGCUGUUGAGAAUCAAAUAAGGCAUGGCUCAUCUCAUGAGAUUAUUUAGCAUAUUAUAUCUGUUUGAUAUUAUUAUAAGUUUUCUGUUUACCACUCCUCCUUCCUUUCCCAGCUGGGACAAUGAUAUGUUAUGUAUAUCUUUCUCUGCUCUACAGCAGCUGCAUUUGUAAUACUACUUGUAUGAAAGCUUUAUUAUACCUCAUUUUUUUUUUCCUUUCUUUUUGUUCAAUUGGAUUCUUAGUUUAUUGUAUUGAUUAUGUGCAACUGGCAUGGCCAGGUAAGAAAAAGAACAAAAAAAGCUUACUGGUUUCUCUAAAUUAAUUAAUCAAAGAUAUAUAUUAUUUGCUGGAUUUAUCAUAGCUCUUCCAAUGAGAAUAUAACCACAUGACAUGAUCCUUUCUGACUUUAUAUUAUUGAAAGUAACUGCUACUUCCCAUAUGAGAUAUUCAGUGUGUGUACACUUCUAACGGCGAGGGAUUAGUGUUUCAAUUGUACAAGCUAAAAUGAUGAUUGACUUAAAGCAAAGUAAUAAAAUGAGAACAUGUUUAGGAGAAGAAGAAAAGAAGGAAUAUAUUACUCAAGCAGCCGGCCAUGACUUAUAUGUAUAUUGGUUAAUAAUUGUCAGGUUAAAAACCAUGCUAUUCCAAUUGCAGACUCUUCAGCACGCACAGAUAUGUCAAUGAUAUAUGAAUAUAAAGCAUGUAUCAUGCAUCUACAUCUUGUUUCAGAUCUAAUGAAAUAAUGUGAUGAUUCUAAGUUUAAAGGAAAAAUUGGAUUGUUGACGGAGGACUAAACUCUCCAAACAGCUGGAAACUGGAAAUAUUAAUUCUUGUGGAUGAAAUGUAUUGAACAUUUGCCUACAAUUCGCAGCUGCAGGAAAGGCUUUUUAGUUCCAUCAGUAUCCAAUUGAUGAAGUUAGCUGCAACUAAUAUAUUGCUGUGAUAAAUGCUAUAUAGUUUUUUGACCCAG